UUUUUUUAAGUUGAGAUUAACAUUUAAAUCAGUGGACUUUGAGCAGUCUGCCCUCCAUAAUGUGGGUGGGCCUCACCCAAUCAGUUGAAGGCCUUAAGAACGAAGACUGAGAUCCCAGAGAAGAAGGAAUUCUGCCUCAAGACUGCCUUUGGACUUGAACUACAGGAUCAAUUAUGUGAACCAAUUCCUUAAGCUCUGUCUCCCCACACCCACACCUCUCUCUCUCUCUCUACACACACACACACACACACACACACACACACACACACACACGCACAAUCUUUGGAGAACCCUGACUAAUACACAGAAAUAAUUUCAUUUGUUCAUAAAGUUUAAUAUGAGAUUUGACGGUUGUCUUCCUAAGAAACCUGGCCAUGGAGCAGAAAUAGUGACCAUUAUAAUUUGGCCUCUAGAAGAAGGUAACAACCAAGACCAGAUUUUUAAUGAUGCUUCUGUAAACAAUGCAUAUAUAAGUAUGAAAGAGAGAGAGAGAUGGGGAAGGAGGGAGAGAGAGACAGAAAGAAAGUGUGGAUAAAUCACAGUUCCCUUGGAGUGUUGUUUCGAUUUCCCAUAUUUAGAGUUUUUAAUUCAAAGAGAGCUUUUCAGUUGCCGCUUUUAAGUUGGGUGAAACAGAUGAGCAGUUAACCCUUCCAAGGUAGUGAGACUUUUGUACAGUGCAUCAUGUAGAUGCAGGUGAUAUACACUGAAGAUAAAUGGUUCAUCUGGAGUCCAACCACGACCCCCCAAAAUGCAGUAAUGAGGCUAUGACUGAAUGGAGUUUGCUGUGAGUACAAGACUUCACUGUCAAGUUUUGAAGACAUUUGAAUAGGUUGCUGAAAUGUUUAAAUGCAAGAAAACACUGCUGAAAACUGAACUUGAGUAAAAUUAACAUUGCUAUUUUUAGUUUAAAACCAUGCAAAAUUUUCUGCGGAUCAUAUGGGGGCAGAAAGAAGAAAAGAAGAAAUAAUGCAAAAAAGAAAUUGUGACUUACAGUUUCAGUAUAUGUUAUAUAAGUAAGUUAACUUUAUAUAAGUGAUAAAUUAUAAGUAUAUGCUUUAUAAGUGUAUAAGUUAACUUUAGAAGUUUUAAAAUGGUAGGUAGGCCCACUGGCAGAGACCAUAAGUCCUGGAUUGCUUGGGACACUUCCACUUUAUUCUGUGGUUAUAUGUAAUUAUUAACAGCAUCCCCUUUUACUCUCAAAAUGAUCCAGUAUGGAUGAUAAAUAUGAUCACCCUAUGAGUUGGCCAAAGAGCAGCUUAUCAUAAUUUUGAUGAGAAGUUUUUAAGCAGCAGCCAUAAGUUGGAAUUUAAGUGUUAAGUUUAAACUUUAGGAAAAACUGAAAUCUAAACAUGUGUUUUGACAUAAUGCAGAAUAUAAUAUGGAUUUUUGUGUAUCAGUGUUUUAUUAACCCCGAUUUAAUUGUUCUUGCAUUAGAGCAAGAUACAUUUUUCUAAUUGGAGUUUUAAGCUUGGACUUACUAAUUCAUAAGCCAUAAACAUGAAUAUUAUUAUUUUUUAAUUUAAAAAGUAUUUAUUUUUCAGUUUUAUUGUGGCAUAACUGGCAAAU
RNAcentral lists this long non-coding RNA (1566 nucleotides) under Homo sapiens (human). RNAcentral describes it as "HSALNT0263738". The record is from RNAcentral. Lineage: Eukaryota; Metazoa; Chordata; Mammalia; Primates; Hominidae.